GCCCAACGCAACUCAUAGCUCCGCUCUUGAAACUGUAGGCUCAAAUAGAUGACUCCUACCACUGGUCAUAGAUUAAGAAUCUAGCUCAUGGAUCAGAAACUCAAUGCCUCCUCUGCUAUCAAUGACACUACUAUUGAAGUUGAUCUUGAGGUAGGUCAAUGAAGGAGGCUCUCAAGAGAAGAAAAUCCUACAGGUCACCGCAUGAGU
Molecule: long non-coding RNA, 207 nt
Filed under: Elaeis guineensis (African oil palm)
Lineage: Eukaryota; Viridiplantae; Streptophyta; Magnoliopsida; Arecales; Arecaceae
Description: long non-coding RNA (EGUI_LNC016231)
Source: RNAcentral